GAUGAACGCUGGCGGCGUGCCUAAUACAUGCAAGUCGAGCGAACAGACGAGGAGCUUUCUCCUUCGACGUUAGCGGCGGACGGGUGAGUAACACGUAGGUAACCUACCUAUAAGACUGGGAUAACUUCGGGAAACCGGAGCUAAUACCGGAUAAUAUUUCGAACCGCAUGGUUCGAUAGUGAAAGAUGGCUUUGCUAUCACUUAUAGAUGGACCUGCGCCGUAUUAGCUAGUUGGUAAGGUAACGGCUUACCAAGGCAACGAUACGUAGCCGACCUGAGAGGGUGAUCAGCCACACUGGAACUGAGACACGGUCCAGACUCCUACGGGAGGCAGCAGUAGGGAAUCUUCCGCAAUGGGCGAAAGCCUGACGGAGCAACGCCGCGUGAGUGAUGAAGGUCUUCGGAUCGUAAAACUCUGUUAUUAGGAAAGAACAAACGUGUAAGUAACUGUGCACGUCUUGACGGUACCUAAUCAGAAAGCCACGGCUAACUACGUG
RNAcentral lists this ribosomal RNA (497 nucleotides) under uncultured bacterium. Its description in RNAcentral is "partial 16S ribosomal RNA". It matches the Rfam family "Bacterial small subunit ribosomal RNA", at positions 28 to 507 of the family's 1533-position model. The record is from RNAcentral.